GUAACGAGCGCAACCCUUGUCCUUAGUUACCAGCACGUUAUGGUGGGCAUUCUAAGGAGACUGCCGGUGCAAACCGGAGGAAGUGGGGAUGACGUCAAGUCAUCAUGGCCCUUACGGCCUGGGCUACACACGUGCUACAAUGGUCGGUACAAAGGGUUGCCAAGCCGCGAGGUGGAGCUAAUCCCAUAAAACCGAUCGUAGUCCGGAUCGCAGUCUGCAACUCGACUGCGUGAAGUCGGAAUCGCUAGUAAUCGUGAAUCAGAAUGUCACGGUGAAUACGUUCCCGGGCCUU
This 292-nucleotide ribosomal RNA is filed under the name uncultured Pseudomonas sp. Its description in RNAcentral is "partial 16S ribosomal RNA". It matches the Rfam family "Bacterial small subunit ribosomal RNA", at positions 1089 to 1382 of the family's 1533-position model. The record is from RNAcentral. Lineage: Bacteria; Pseudomonadati; Pseudomonadota; Gammaproteobacteria; Pseudomonadales; Pseudomonadaceae.